This 473-nucleotide ribosomal RNA is filed under the name uncultured bacterium. RNAcentral describes it as "bacterial SSU rRNA". It matches the Rfam family "Bacterial small subunit ribosomal RNA", at positions 1056 to 1529 of the family's 1533-position model. The record is from RNAcentral.
CAGCUCGUGUCGUGAGAUGUUGGGUUAAGUCCCGCAACGAGCGCAACCCUUAUUGUUAGUUGCUACCAUUUAGUUGAGCACUCUAGCGAGACUGCCCGGGUUGACCGGGAGGAAGGUGGGGAUGACGUCAAAUCAUCAUGCCCCUUAUGUCUAGGGCUACACACGUGCUACAAUGGUCGGUACAAUGAGAUGCAACCUCGCGAGAGUGAGCAAAACUAUAAAACCGAUCUCAGUUCGGAUCGUAGGCUGAAACUCGCCUACAUGAAGCUGGAGUUGCUAGUAAUCGCGAAUCAGAAUGUCGCGGUGAAUACGUUCCCGGGCCUUGUACACACCGCCCGUCACACCAUGAGAGUUGGCAAUACCCAAAGUUCGUGAGCUAACGCGUAAGGGAGGCAGCGACCUAAGGUAGGGUCAGCGAUUGGGGUGAAGUCGUAACAAGGUAGCCGUAGGAGAACCUGCGGUUGGAUCACCUC